UGGGGAAUUGUUCGCAAUGGGCGCAAGCCUGACGACGCAACGCCGCGUGAAGGAUGAAGGUCUUCGGAUUGUAAACUUCUGUUGGGUGGGACGAACAUUUUCAGGGCGAAUACCCCUGAAAACUGACGGUACCACCUGAGGAAGCCCCGGCUAACUCUGUGCCAGCAGCCGCGGUAAUACAGAGGGGGCAAGCGUUGUUCGGAAUUACUGGGCGUAAAGGGCGCGUAGGCGGCCUAUUAAGUCAGACGUGAAAUCCCUCGGCUCAACCGGGGAACUGCGUCUGAUACUGGUGGGCUUGAGUUCGGGAGAGGGAUGUGGAAUUCCAGGUGUAGCGGUGAAAUGCGUAGAUAUCUGGAGGAACACCGGUGGCGAAGGCGGCAUCCUGGACCGACACUGACGCUGAGGCGCGAAAGCCAGGGGAGCAAACG
Molecule: ribosomal RNA, 428 nt
Filed under: uncultured Luteitalea sp.
Lineage: Bacteria; Pseudomonadati; Acidobacteriota; Vicinamibacteria; Vicinamibacterales; Vicinamibacteraceae
Description: bacterial SSU rRNA
Rfam family: Bacterial small subunit ribosomal RNA
Source: RNAcentral